CCCGCAAGCCAUAUCAUUUGAUGUUAUGAUGUUUCACACAAUUUUGAAAAUACUUUGCCUACAUUAUAGCUUUUAAGCACCCCUCAAAAAAAUAGUAAAUAGAGCAUGAAGAAAAACUAUGCAAGACUGUAAGUCUUGUAAUAGAGAGAUUAAAAUCAUAAAUCAUGCAUGUUAUGCUUCCAUAAUAAGCAAAGUAAACAUGAGCGAUUUCCAUGUUGCUAGUCAUGUGGAUGCCAACACUAUGAGUAGAGAAAUAGAUCAAAAUGUAAGCUGGAUGAUCUUUCAUGGGGUAGUGGAUAUGGUUUAACUUAGGAAAAAUUAUUGAACCAGGGCAAAUCCCAAAGUAUAUGCACAGUGGAUAGCGCACAAUCGAAAAUUGGUGAAAUACAAGGGAUAGCAUGGUGUAUUAUACAUUGUGGGAUUUGACGUGGUCCGAUUGCACCUGGUGCAUGCAAUAUGGAAGCUUAACCUAGACUCUUUUUUUGGUAGAUAGUUUUUUUUUGUACAAACGGGCGAUCACACCAUUUUAGUAUGAGUAUGGUCCAAAAAGUUAAAGUGCAAAAUACCACGAAGUGCCUAUGGACACACAUCUCCAUGGCUCUAGGAUCAGUCUCUGGUAUGAUCGGCAACGAACGAAACUAUCCAAUCUCCGACUUUAUUCACCUUUCGAUAGACAUAUCGAACAGCUAUUAUAGAAAAAUGAUAGAGGGACUUCUAGAUAUCAUGGAGCAGCAGGUGAGCUUCCAAUCGCUUCAUGUCAUCCCUGACUCAGCCAAUAACUAUAGCAGAGUCAUCCUCCAUGAAGAUGCUCUCCAUAUGCAGGUCCUAUCGUAUGCAGGUGAUGUCCGCCCAGGCUGCUUGGAGCUCUGCUCCUGAGACCGACGGCUCAAAUAGAUGUGAAACCCCAGCAGUC
This 913-nucleotide long non-coding RNA is filed under the name Elaeis guineensis (African oil palm). RNAcentral describes it as "long non-coding RNA (EGUI_LNC029830)". The record is from RNAcentral. Lineage: Eukaryota; Viridiplantae; Streptophyta; Magnoliopsida; Arecales; Arecaceae.